RNAcentral lists this ribosomal RNA (438 nucleotides) under uncultured bacterium. RNAcentral's name for it is "bacterial SSU rRNA". It matches the Rfam family "Bacterial small subunit ribosomal RNA", at positions 30 to 514 of the family's 1533-position model. The record is from RNAcentral.
CGUACGCUGGCGGCACGCCUAACACAUGCAAGUCGAACGCAGUAGCAAUACUGAGUGGCAGACGGGUGAGUAACAUGUGGGAAUCUGCCUUGUGGUUCAGGACAACAUUGGGAAACCGAUGCUAAUACUGGAUAAGCCCUUACGGGGAAAGUUUUAAUGCCAUAAGAUGAGCCCGCAUUUGAUUAGUUAGUUGGUGAGGUAAUGGCUCACCAAGACAAUGAUCAAUAGCUGAUCUGAGAGGAUGAUCAGCCACACUGGGACUGAGACACGGCCCAGACUCCUACGGGAGGCAGCAGUGGGGAAUCUUGCACAAUGGAGGAAACUCUGAUGCAGCGAUGCCGCGUGAGUGAAGAAGGCCUUUGGGUUGUAAAGCUCUUUUGUAGGGGAAGAUAAUGACUGUACCCUAAGAAUAAGGUCCGGCUAACUUCGUGCCAGCAG